CAUAGGGCUGAAGUAAUAACACGUGUCCAAGGAAGUUGACCUAAGGAAAAAAGAAAAGCAGAAGUCAUUUUACUUUGGCGAAUCUUGGAGGAGUCGAUGUUGGGUUUUCGUUUAACAAAGGAUUCAUUCAUGGUAUUGAUGAUUAGUGUUGUUAUUGAGGAGUUUUUCGGCGAACGACAAGUUUGAUAGGCUACUUCGAGUGACGGUUGACUCGAGACUUCUGAGUUGCUUCUUCGUUGAGACAUGCAACAAAGUUGCCAUCGUUGAGACUUUCUGAGGUGGGUUAGAAAACAUAGUUGGAAGAGACAAGAAUCGUCAUGAGUGGAAUUGCUUCACAUCCUAAUAAUAUGGGUUUUUGUGGAAAUUCUAAAUAGCAGUAUAACCAUCUUUGCCACCAAUGAUAAAUCUUCAACUGAUCACAUUUUGCUCAUUUCUUAUGCUGUACACUAGAGAAUGAAUUUGUUUUGAUAAUACUGAAUCAAGAUUGUUAUGUUUACAACAUAAGUUAUUU
Molecule: long non-coding RNA, 511 nt
Organism: Pistacia vera
Lineage: Eukaryota; Viridiplantae; Streptophyta; Magnoliopsida; Sapindales; Anacardiaceae
Exons: 4
Source: RefSeq, a predicted model, not a curated record